Molecule: unclassified non-coding RNA, 530 nt
Filed under: Hevea brasiliensis (rubber tree)
Lineage: Eukaryota; Viridiplantae; Streptophyta; Magnoliopsida; Malpighiales; Euphorbiaceae
Source: RNAcentral
AUUCAUGGAGAUGAGCAGCUCAGAGUUGCCAGCCGCUGCAAGGAGGUUGGAAGGUAAGGUCGCUGUUAUUACGGGAGGUGCCAGCGGCAUUGGCGAGGGCACGGCCCGCCUCUUUGUCCGCCAUGGCGCCAAAGUUGUUAUCGCCGACAUCCAAGACACUCUUGGCCAUACAGUUUGCACCUCCCUCGGCCCUGCUGCCUCCUACAUCCACUGUGACGUUACCAAGGAGGAUGACAUCAGUGCUGCUGUUGACCAUGCCGUUUCCACAUUCGGUAAACUCGAUAUUAUGUAUAACAAUGCAGGCAUUGGCGGUGACACUGAUCCCUUAAUUACCGACAACACAAAGGCGAACUUUGACAGUGUCAUUGCCAUCAACCUAAGAGGGCCAUUUCUAGGAAUCAAGCAUGCUGCCCGUGUAAUGAUACCAGCGGGAAAGGGCAGCAUUAUCAGCACUUCGAGUCUGGCAGGGUGUAUAGGUGGGGCAGCGUCGCAUGCCUAUACUGCAGCGAAGCACGGGGUGGUGGGACUGA